UUUUUGUUUUGUUUUGUUUUUCAAGACAGGGUUUCUCUGUGUAUCUUUAAAAAAAUCUCUUUUAAAGAUUUAUUAUUUAUGAUGUAUACAGUGUUCUGCCUGCACACCAGAAGAGGGCACCAGAUCUUAUUACAGGUGGUUGUCAGCCACCAUGUGGUUGCUGGGAAUUGAACUCAGGACCUCUGGAAGAGCAGCAAGUGCUCUUAACCUCUGAGCCAUCUCUCCAGCCUCUCUAGGUUACUGAUUACAACAGUUGUGUUGAAUCUGGAGAAUGGCAGGUCUCACAUUGCUCGGUCUGUCCUGCCCACCCAUGAAGCAGAACAAAGAGCCACAGAUGAUGAAGAAAGGGGAGAUGUUAGCAAAGGAUCCAGCAAGAAUUCUAGUUUUUGGUCUGGAGAUAGAAACUCAGAGAAGAGCAACGAGAAGAAUGAAGACUUCUUGGGUAA
Long non-coding RNA from Peromyscus eremicus (cactus mouse), 446 nucleotides. RefSeq lists it as uncharacterized. The record is from RefSeq and is a predicted model, not a curated record. NCBI's taxonomy places the organism in Eukaryota, Metazoa, Chordata, Mammalia, Rodentia, Cricetidae. The transcript has 3 exons.